GAUCCUGGCUCAGAAUCAACGCUGGCGGCGUGCCUCAGACAUGCAAGUCGUACGCGAAAGGCCCCUUCGGGGGCCGAGUAGAGUGGCGCACGGGUGAGUAACACGUGGGUAAUCUGCCUUUGGGUGGGGAAUAACAGUCGGAAACGGCUGCUAAUACCGCAUAACGCAGCGGCACCUUCGGGUGACAGUUGUUAAAGCGGGGGACCGGCUUCGGCCGACCUCGCGCCUAAAGAGGAGCCCGCGGCGGAUUAGCUAGUUGGUGGGGUAACGGCCCACCAAGGCACCGAUCCGUAGCCGGCCUGAGAGGGCGGUCGGCCACACUGACACUGACACACGGGUCAGACUCCUACGGGAGGCAGCAGUCGGGAAUUUUGGGCAAUGGGCGCAAGCCUGACCCAGCAACGCCGCGUGAAGGACGAAGCAUCUCGGUGUGUAAACUUCAUAAGAGUGGGAAGAAUAAGCGGGGGUUAACAACCCCCGUGAUGACGGUACCACUUGUAAGCCCCGGCUAACUCCGUGCCAGCAGCCGCGGUAAUACGGGGGGGGCAAGCGUUGUUCGGAUUUACUGGGCGUAAAGGGCGCGUAGGCGGCGCGACGAGUCACUUGUGAAAUCUCCGGGCUUAACCCGGAGCGGCCAAGUGAUACUGUCGUGCUCGAGUGCGGAAGGGGCCACCGGAAUUCUCGGUGUAG
This 690-nucleotide ribosomal RNA is filed under the name uncultured Acidobacteriota bacterium. RNAcentral describes it as "bacterial SSU rRNA". It matches the Rfam family "Bacterial small subunit ribosomal RNA", at positions 15 to 678 of the family's 1533-position model. Lineage: Bacteria; Pseudomonadati; Acidobacteriota. The record is from RNAcentral.